UUGAAAAUUAUGUAACAUGGUAGACUAAUGUGCCUGUGUUGAUUCAGCUCCAUAUUAUUGUGUGAAGUUGCACUGGGUUGGGAGUGGUUGUGUGUGUGUGUCACAUUUUUGGUGAGCCAAUGGCUGGAAUGGGGUUGGACUAAUUAGAGGCAGGUGUACUUGAUUGCACUGAUACACUGGUCUACUUAUAGCCCACACUACAAACACUGCAACACUGCUGUGUCAUUUUGUCUCUCUGUGCAGGCCAGGGCCUAUUAUAUGCCACAGCCUAAAGGCAGCAGAGUUGCAGAGGCUGGAGUGACCACUGGCUAUAUGCUUACAGGGUGGUGGGUCUCAGACGACAACUUCUAACCCUGUUAAAGGCAACACGUGGAGUGCAACUGGUCGUGUGGCAUAGCUGGCUCUGGCCUUGGGACUGUGUGUUUUUUAUUUGAUUCAUAAAUGGGACACUGGACUGUUUUAUAUUUUAUCUCUUGAUUAUUUGUCAAUAAAUUAUCUUUUAGAAUUUUA
This is a long non-coding RNA of Oreochromis aureus, 510 nucleotides long. RefSeq lists it as uncharacterized. The record is from RefSeq and is a predicted model, not a curated record. The transcript is spliced from 2 exons. Lineage: Eukaryota; Metazoa; Chordata; Actinopteri; Cichliformes; Cichlidae.